Molecule: ribosomal RNA, 254 nt
Filed under: uncultured bacterium
Lineage: Bacteria
Description: partial 16S ribosomal RNA
Rfam family: Bacterial small subunit ribosomal RNA
Source: RNAcentral
UACGGAGGGAUCCAAGCGUUAUCCGGAUUUAUUGGGUUUAAAGGGUGCGUAGGCGGCUUUUUAAGUCAGGGGUGAAAGACGGUAGCGUAACUAUCGCAGUGCCCUUGAUACUGAAGAGCUUGAAUAUACUUGAGGUAGGCGGAAUGUGACAAGUAGCGGUGAAAUGCAUAGAUAUGUCACAGAACACCAAUUGCGAAGGCAGCUUACUAAGGUAUGAUUGACGCUGAGGCACGAAAGCGUGGGGAUCAAACAGG